GACGAACGCUGGCGGCGUGCUUAACACAUGCAAGUCGAACGGAAAGGCCCUGCUUUUGUGGGCUGCUCGAGUGGCGAACGGGUGAGUAGCACGUGAGUAACCUGCCCUUGACUUUGGGAUAACUUCAGGAAACUGGGGCUAAUACCGGAUAGGAGCUCCUGCUGCAUGGUGGGGGUUGGAAAGUUUCGGCGGGUGGGGAUGGACUCGCGGCUUAUCAGCUUGUUAGUGGGGUAGUGGCUUACCAAGGCUUUGACGGGUAGCCGGCCUGAGAGGGGGACCGGCCACAUUGGGACUGAGAGACGGACCAGACGCGUACGGGAGGCAGCAGGGGGGAAUAUUGCACAACGGGCGGAAGCCUGAGGCAGCAACGCCGCGUGCGGGAUGACGGCCUUCGGGGUGUAAACCGCUGUCGCCUGUGACGAAGCGGGAGUGACGGUAAUGGGUAAAGAAGCACCGGCUAACUACGUG
RNAcentral lists this ribosomal RNA (468 nucleotides) under uncultured bacterium. RNAcentral's name for it is "partial 16S ribosomal RNA". It matches the Rfam family "Bacterial small subunit ribosomal RNA", at positions 28 to 507 of the family's 1533-position model. The record is from RNAcentral.